ACUGAAGUAAAAUCUCAAAUUAUUUCCAAACACCAGAGCGAGGCCAGCGCAUGGUUCUGAUUUCCUCCUGGGUGCCAUUUUGAAGUCUUUCUCGGCAUACGGAGGCUGCAGGCCAGACUCCUCCAAACUAACCCACUCAGGAUCACUAAGGAGGAUUCUGAAUGAGCAGAAACCCUGAAAACCUGCAGCUGCUCCUCAGCAGAGCCGGUCUGAGUCCUGCUGGGGGAGGGAGCGGCUCAGCCGGGUCAGCCAAGGUGCCUGCUGGUACAAGCAGCAGGUCAGUCCAGAGCAGCAGAGCCAAAGUAAACCCUGCAGAGGUUCAGACUCGGUGCUCUGGCUGCAGCUCUCUGUGACUAAGCCCCCCCGGUCCCAGGGGAGGGUUCAGUGAAACAGACCAGUGAGUCUGAAAAGCUGCCACUGUGGAGCCUCCAUGUGAAGGGGAAGGGGCGUCUCAGUGAUCGAGGGGAAACUCUCAGGGAUUCUGUUACCUCAGACAAAAUGCUUUAUCUGGACCGAACACUGAGACUCUUCAGGACGCGGCUUUCAAAACCAAACCCUCAGGAAGACUCCUAAUGAAGGAAACCUCGUCCUAAAAACCACAGACGGGUUCGCCUCAGGGCUCAAACACACUUAAACCAUCUGAACUCUGGGUUCACUUCAGUCUCCCUCACACAGAAACAUGUUCGGAGCUGAGAAACUACAGAAUACUUGAUCUCAGCGUUAGUGUCAGGGCUUGUUUGUGUAUUUUUUGAUCAUACAAUUCCUCCCUGAAAAAUCAAGAAGCCUAUUCAGGGAAAGUUCUUGUUCGCCUCCUCGUUUCAGACAAGAAGAGAUCCAAAAGAAACUCAAAGACUGAAUAACAUUAAAGACAUUUUCUUCUGCUGUCAACAACUCACUUCUUCCUAAAUCUUUCUCCACAAACCUUUUAUCUGCCAUCGUAUUCGUUACCCGAUAAUCACACAAACAGGGUCAGCAGCAGACCUCUCCUUCAACACAAAAAUAAACAAUUGCCAUUCAUUUCAUAUUCAUAUAUUUACAAUGUGAGCAGUGUGAGAAUGGGUAUUUUCUAACUGUCACGUCUGUAAGGUAUACACUUUUAACUUUGAAGACAGAAGGAUAUCAUAGAAUGAGAUAUGUGAAUACUGUUAUUGGAGCUACUUUUAUUAAUCUGUCAUUCUAUGGUAUUUUUCUUUCUCCUUUCAAUUACUGGAGUUGGAGCCAGAGUACUUUUAUAACAUAUUUUGUCAGUUCUGAUUAUUUUGUGUGGUUUCAUGUUUAAGUGUUGUAACUGAAUGUCAUCAUCUUGCUGCAAAACAAAUCUACCAACAGGUAUAAAUAAAGUAAGCUAACUUAAAACUCA
This is a long non-coding RNA of Notolabrus celidotus (New Zealand spotty), 1360 nucleotides long. RefSeq lists it as uncharacterized. The transcript is spliced from 2 exons. The record is from RefSeq and is a predicted model, not a curated record. Lineage: Eukaryota; Metazoa; Chordata; Actinopteri; Labriformes; Labridae.